UAAAAUUGUAAACUUAAGUAUUGUGCUUUCCCAAGUUCUGUGAGUCAUUCUAGCAAAUGACCACACUGAUGGGGCAGUGGAAACCACAGAAUUUGUAGUCAUUUAGUCAGAAGCACAGAUGGCCACAAAACCCUGGAGUUUCCGGCUGGUGCCUGAAGUGAGGAGGAUCUUGUGAGGGACCCAACCCUCAACCUGAGAAGUCUGUGCUCAAAGUCUGAAUAAAGUCAGAAUUGUAUUGAAGUGUUUAAGAUAAAUAAGGAGCAGAAAAAAGGCAAAAUUGUGUUUGGAAAACAUCAAGAGGGAAGACCACAUUUGGGGGACUACAGGAACCAAAAUACGGAGUUUGAAUGUUUUUCCUAAGCACAAUGGAACCUGUGGAAGAUUUUUAGCAGUAUUCGCAAAAAAGCUCUUACAAUAUUCCAUUCUGUGAGAAGUUUCGACCAAAAAGACAUCCACAAGUGCUGUCAAAUUGAAAGCACACAAGUCACCUUCCUAAAGAGAAGUUUUCUCAUGCCGUUUGCAAUGGAUUCCUUUCCUCCUGUCUCUACACUCCAGCCCCAGGCAACCAACGAUCUGCUUUGUCACUGUGGAUUAGUUUGUUUGAUUUAGCAUUUUAUAUCAAAGAAAUCAUAGAGUCUGUAUCUUUUUUUGUCUUGCUUCUUUCACUCAGCAUAAUUAUUUUGAGAUUUAUUGUGUUGUAGCAUGAAUAAGUAGUUAAUUUAUAUCUACUGGUGUGAAGUAUUCUAUUGCAUGGAAACAACACAAUUUAUGUAUCUAUUCACACAUUGAUGUACUUGGCAAGUAAAGUUGCUAUGUGGUGUUAUAAUUUGCAUUUUCCUAGUGAAUAAUGAUGUUCAGCAUCUUUUCAUAGAUUAGUUGGUCAUCCAGCUACUUUGGGGAAGUAUCUGCUCAAAUAUUUUGAUUAUUUUAAAAAAUUGGAUUGUUUGAUUUUUAGUAAGUUUCAGUAAACAUUUGAGUUUUUAGAAUUGUUUAUGCAUUUGGUAUACAGGCCCUUUGUGAGAUAUGUGAUGUGCAAAUAUUUUCUCCCAGUCUGUGGCUUGUCUUUUCAUUCUCUUUCAAUGACUUUCAAAGUGUUAUUUUUAAUUGUAAUGAAGUCCAACUCAUUAAUUUUUUUGUUAUGGUUUGUGUUUUCAUUGACAUAUCAAUAAAAUCUUUGCCUAAUUUCAUGCCAUAAAGAUAUUUUUCCUGUAUUUUCUCCCUGAAGAUAUAUAGUAUUUUGUUUUACAUUUAGGUCUAUUACUCAUGUUGAUCCAAUUUGAGUUAAUUUCUGUAUAUGGUAUGAGGUAUUAAGAGAGUUCAUUUUUUACAUGAAUAUUCAAUAACUAUAGCACUAUUCAUUCAAAAGAUUAUCCUGUGUGCACUGAAUUGCUUUAUAAAAACUCAGUUGUUCAUAUAUUUAUAUGUCUGUUUCUAGACUCUUAGUUGUUUCAUUUAUCUGUCUGUCUUUACACAAGUGCCACACUCUAUGAUUAAUGUAGUUUUAUAAUAAGCCUUGAACCUAGGUAGCAUUAUUCCUGUAACUUUAUUUUUCAAAGUUGUUAUGACUCUUUAUAUAAGCUUUAUAAAUGGCUUUUUGAAUUUCCAUAUGAAUUUUGAAAGUGGUCUGUCAUUUCUAUUAAAAAGAAGACAAAAACCCCUGGGAAUUUUAUUAAGAUUGCAUUAAAUCUAUAGGUCAAUUUAAGAAGAAUUGACAUUUUAAAACUAUUAAGAUUUCUAAUUCAUGCACAUAGUAUCUCUUUGCUUAUCUAAGACAUAAUUUUUUCAACGUUUUGUAGUUUUCAGUGUAUUAGUCCUUUACAUGUUUCCAGAAAUUUUUCCUGUUUCACUUAUUUCUAGUUUCUAAAGGUAGAAGUUGAGAUAAUUGAUUUCAGAUCUUAUUUCUUUUCUAAUGCAGAUCUUUCACACUAUAAAUUACUGAUUUAGUGGCAUGCAUAAAUUUCAGUAUGCUGCAUUUUUAUUUUUAUUUAAAAAUUAUUUGUAAUUUAUUUUUUAUUCUUCCUUUGACUCCCUCACCGUUCAGUUUUUAGAAGUACUUUAGCUAGUUCUCUCUCUCUCAAUUUUAUUUAAUUUCAUUGUGAUCAAAAAAUAUACUUUGAAUAACAAAUUUUUUUAAGUUUAUAAAGAUUUAUUUUCUGGUUAAGAAUAUAGUCUAUUUUGGUGACUAAUUCAUGAGCCCCUGAAAAUAAGGCAUAUUUUCAGUUUUAAAUAAAGUGCUAAAUGCCAGUUAUGUCAAUUUGGUCUCCUAAAUGCCAAUUAUGUCAAUUUGGUUUAUGAUAUUGUUUGGCUGUUCUCUCAUGUAUCUUUAUUGACUCUCUAUCUACUUAUCAAUUAUUGACACAGGAGUAUUUAAAUUGCCAACUAUAAUUAUGGAUUUAUCAAUUUCUCCUUCCAGUUCUAUCAGUUUAUACUUUAUGUAUUUUGAAAUUUUGUUGAAUUCUAGGUGGUAAAGCCCAUUAUCACUCAAAUUACGAUCAAAUGACCCAGUUUCUUGGGAAUGCUAACAUUCUUGAAUUUACAUUUUCUAUUGCUAUGCCUCCAAAUUAAUCGCCCCAUAUAAAGAGAUGCUUAGGCUGAGAGUAUGCCCAGGAUGGAAAGAGGAGACAAACACACGAAGUACCCAAUAGCAUUGUCUUCAAAGGACAGGCUCUGAUAGCCGCUGGAGGUGGCAUUGAAGAUUUAAUUUGGAAAGAUGUCAAGAAAACAAAGGAUUUCUCUCUGACCUCCUUUCCCCAAUGGAAAAGAUGAUAUCACUUCGAAGUUUCUUCUAAAACAAAGAAUAACUUUUCAAAAGUUUCCUUUGAAAUUGGAGUCAGUAAAGCUGAACAAAAAUAUCAUAAACACACCUAAUCUUUGUCCACUUCCCAAGCCUGUCCCAAUUUCUGAUGAAUGCUACACUCAGAACCAUUUCUCAUAUAAAGAGAACAUUUGCUAUUUAUUGGAAAAAGUUCCAUUUUUUUGACAAUGUACUGUAAUUCCUUGGGAGUAGGCUCCUAAAUUGUCAAUCUUGGCAUAUGAAAAAUUCAAACGAAUUAACAAUAAAAUUGUUAUAUUAGUCUGUUCUCACACUGCUGUGAAGAAACAUCAGAGACUGGGUAACUUAGAAAGGAAAGAGGUUUACAUGACUCACAGUUCUGCGUUGCUGGGGAGGCCUCAGAAACUUACAAUAAUGGCAGAAGGCAAAACAGAAGCAGGCACCUUACUCACAGUGCAGCAGGAUGGAAUAAGUGCAAGCAAGGGAUACGCUGGAUGCUUAUAAAACCAUCAGAUCUCCUGAGAACUCACUCACUAUCAUGAGAACAGCAUGGGGGAACCGCCACCAUCAUCCAAUUACCUCCACCUGUUCCCGCCCUUGACACAUGGAGAUUAUGGGGAUUACAAAUCAAGGUGGUGAAGAAAUGACAUAUGACAAAGCACAACAGAAAAUAUUCCUGAGGGUAAGCCAUGGCGUUUCAUCAAUUAACAAUAAAGGAAGAAAGCAGGCCUAAAGCCUAUGAUGGAAAAAGAAAAUGGCAGAAGAGAUUGUGAACUUAAGUAAAGUAUUGUAGGUUCAGGAGUACAUGUGCAGAAUGUGCAGUGUUGUUACAUAGAUAAAUGUGUGUCAUGAUGGUUUGCUGCACGGAUCAUCUCAUCACCCAGGUAUUAAGCCCAGCAUCCAUUAGCUAUUCUUUCUUAUGCUCUCCCUUCUAAAAAGUGUUCUACCCUUCACCUUAAAAAAUGCCCCAGUGUGUGUUCUCCACCCCCAUCAUGUGUGCAUGUGUUCUCAUAAUUCAGCUCCCACUUAUAAGAGAGAGCAUGCAGCAUUUGGUUUUCUUUUCCUGCAUUAAUUUGCUGAUAAUAAUGGCUUCCAUGACCUUGCAAAGGACAUGAUUUUGUUCCUUUUUAUGGCUGCAUAGUAUGUAUAUGUACCACAUUUCCUUUAUCCAGUCUAUCAUUUGAUGGGCAUUUAGGUUGAUUCCAUCUCUUUGCAAUUGUGAAGAGUGCUGCAAUAAAUAUACACAUGCAUGUAUCUUUAUAAUAAAAAGAUUUAUAUUCCUUUGGUUAUAUAUCCAGUAAUUGGGAUUGCUGGGUCGAAUCGUAUUUCUGCCUCUAGGUCUUUGAGGAAUGGCCACACUGUCUUCUACAAUGGUUGAGCUAAUUUACACUCCCACCAAUAGUGCAUAAGUAUUCCCUUUUCUCGGCAACCUCACCAUCAUCUGCUAUUAUUUUUUUUGACUUUUUAGUAAUAGCCAUUCUAACUGGUGUUAGAUGGUAUCUGAUUAUGGUUUUGAUUUGCAUUUCACUAAUAAUCAGUGAUGUUGAGCUUUUCUUCAUGUAUUUGCUGGCCACAUGUAUGUCCUCUUUUGAGAAGUGUCUGUUCAUGUCCUUUGCCCACUUUUUAAUGUGGUUGUUUGGUGGUUUUUUUCUUGUAAAUUGUUUAAGCUUCAUGUAGAUGCUGGAUAUUAGACCUUUAUCAGGUGGAUAGAGUGCAAAAAUUUUCUUCCGCUCUUUACAUUGUCUGUUUCCUCUGUUGAUAGUUUCUUUUGCUGUGCAGAAACUCUUUUGUUUAAUUAAAUCCCAUUUGUCAAUUUUUGCUUUUGUUCCAAUUGCUUUUGGCAUCUUCGUCAUGAAAUCUUUGCCUGUGCCUAUAUCCUGAAUAGAAUUGCCUUUGUUUUCUUAUAGGGUUUUUAUAGUUUUGGGUUUUACAUUGAAGUCUUUAAACCAUAUUGAGUUAAUUUCUGUAUAAGUUGUAAGGAAUGGGUCCUGUUUCAAUUUUCUGCAUAUAGCUAGGCAGUUCUUUCUGUACCAUUUAUUAAACAGGGAAUCUUUUCCCCAUUGCUUGUUUUUGUCAGAUUUGUCAAAGAUCAGAUGGUUGUCAGUGUGUAGUCUUAUUUCUGCGUUCUCUAUUCUGUUCCAUUGAUCUGUGUGUCUGUUCUUGUACCAGUAUCAUGCUGUUUUGAUUACUGUAGCCCUGUAGUAUAGUUUGAAUUCAGAUAGCAUGAUGCCUUCAGCUUCGUUCUUUUUGCUUAGAAUAGCCUUGGCUAUUUGGGCUCUUUUUUUGUUUUCAUAGGUAUUAUAAAACAGUUUUUUCUAAUUCUAUGAGGAAUGUCAAUGGUAGUUUAACAGGAACAGCACUGAAUCUAUAAAUUACUUCAGGCAGUAUGGCCAUUUUCACAAUAUUGAUUCUUCCUAUUCAUGAACGUGAACUUUUUUGUGUUUACUUUUGUCAUCCCUGACUCCUCUGAGCAGAGCUUUGUAGUUACCUUGUAGAGAUAUUUCACAUCCUUUGUUAGCUGUAUUCCUAUGUGUUUUAUUCUGUUUGUGAUGAUUGUGAUUGGGAGUUCAUUUGUGAUUUGACUCUCAACUUGACUCUUGUUGGUGUACAGGAAUGCUAACAAUGUUUGC
This 5403-nucleotide long non-coding RNA is filed under the name Homo sapiens (human). RNAcentral describes it as "HSALNT0076652". Lineage: Eukaryota; Metazoa; Chordata; Mammalia; Primates; Hominidae. The record is from RNAcentral.